This 440-nucleotide ribosomal RNA is filed under the name uncultured bacterium. RNAcentral describes it as "partial 16S ribosomal RNA". It matches the Rfam family "Bacterial small subunit ribosomal RNA", at positions 338 to 795 of the family's 1533-position model. The record is from RNAcentral.
CCUACGGGUGGCAGCAGUGGGGAAUAUUGCACAAUGGGGGAAACCCUGAUGCAGCGACGCCGCGUGAGUGAAGAAGUAACUCGUUGUGGAAAGCUCUAUCAGCAGGGGAGAAAAUGACGGUACCUGAGUAAGACGCCCCGGCUAACUACGUGCCAGCAGCCGUGGGAAUACGUAGGGGGCAAGCGUUAUACGGAGUUACUGGGUGUAAUGGGAGCGUAGACGGCAGUGCAAGUCUGGAGUGAAAGGCGGGGGCUCAACCCCCGUACUGCUGUGGAAACUGUACGGCUGGAGUGCAGGAGAGGUAAGUGGAAUUCCUGGUGUAGCGGUGAAAUGCGUAGAUAUUAGGAAGAACACCAGUGGCGAAGGCAGCUUACUGGACUGUAACUGACGUUGAGGCUCGAAAGCGUGGGGAGCAAACAGGAUUAGAUACCCCAGUAGUC